This 103-nucleotide microRNA precursor is filed under the name Marmota monax (woodchuck). Lineage: Eukaryota; Metazoa; Chordata; Mammalia; Rodentia; Sciuridae. The record is from RNAcentral.
AGAGGAAUAGCUGGGUCAAAUGGUGAUUCCAUUGCCAGUUUUCCAAGGAAUCUCCACACUGCUUUCUAAAUUGGCUGCACCAAUUUGCAGUCCCACCAGCAAU